RNAcentral lists this ribosomal RNA (253 nucleotides) under uncultured bacterium. Its description in RNAcentral is "partial 16S ribosomal RNA". It matches the Rfam family "Bacterial small subunit ribosomal RNA", at positions 524 to 776 of the family's 1533-position model. The record is from RNAcentral.
UACGGAGGGUGCAAGCAUUGAUCGGAAUUACUGGGCGUAAAGGGCGCGUAGGCGGCUUGGAAAGUCGGAUGUGAAAUUCCGGGGCUCAACCCCGGAGCUGCAUUUGAAACUUCUAGGCUAGAGUACAGUUAGGGUAAACAGAAUUCCACGUGUAGCGGUGAAAUGCGUAGAUAUGUGGAAGAAUACCGGUGGUGAAGACGGUUUACUGGGCUGAAACUGACGCUGAGGCGCGAAAGCAUGGGGAGCAAACAGG